UUGGUGCAACUCACUUUUUAUUUCACGUGCAUUUGCUUGUAACUUAGAAUUUAAACCAUAAGCUUUAGGAAAAACGUUAGUAGUGGAAACUCCCUUUAAGAACUACUAGAGGCUCAUGCGUAUAUAAGGACUAUAGGAUAAAAACUUCAGAGAUAGAAGUAUGUGUAAACCUGAUACUAUUAGAUUUUGUAAGAUUUGAUGUAAUAUUAGGAAUAGAUUGGUUGAAAAAGUAUAGAGUUAUAAUAGAUUGUGAAAGUAAAAUUGUAACCUUACGAACCCCAAAAAAGAAAUAAAAGUUGUUGUUAUUAUUUUUCUAACGAAUGAAUGAACAGGAAUAUGGACGUUGAUCUUG
This 352-nucleotide long non-coding RNA is filed under the name Carica papaya (papaya). Its description in RNAcentral is "long non-coding RNA (CPAP_LNC003119)". Lineage: Eukaryota; Viridiplantae; Streptophyta; Magnoliopsida; Brassicales; Caricaceae. The record is from RNAcentral.